RNAcentral lists this long non-coding RNA (1480 nucleotides) under Vulpes vulpes (red fox). Its description in RNAcentral is "lncRNA (ENSVVUG00000026225.1)". The record is from RNAcentral. Lineage: Eukaryota; Metazoa; Chordata; Mammalia; Carnivora; Canidae.
CCAGGUGCGGGGAGGCCGGCGCCCCACCCGCGAGCCCGUCCGGGGGCCCUCGGGCCAGCCGCGUCUCCCGCCCCGGGGCCGGCCGGUGCGCGCGGGAGGAGGACCCAGAAGCGGGCUCUGCCUGGGCUUGCCUGGGCUUGUUCAGAGCCGGGUGCUUCCCUCGGUGACCACGCGGAUCCGGGGGGACUUCGGGAUCCUGCGGGAGCCCUGCAGUCCUGCAGCCCGGCCGGGCCUCGGCGUGCCACGGCGAGCGCAGCUCUCUUCCCGGCCAGCCUUCCUGGGCAUCUCUUGUUCGGAGUGAGGAAAUCCUUCUCGAAGCCCCAGCGGACUUUCCCACACAUCUCAUUGGCCAGAAUGAUGACUGAGGCCCGGCCAGCCCCAGAGGAUCGGUGGCAAGGGAAGGGGCUGGCGGGGAUGGCGUUGGUGAGGCCUGUGACUCAGAAGAGGCUGGGCUUACCUGAGCCAAGUCAGGGCCUGUGAGUAGGAGCAGAGAGGCACGGAUUUGGGGCAGGUAACCAGGAUCUGCUACAUCGGAGACUUGAAAUUGAUUCAGAUUUCUAACUGGCUUGGAGAGUCAAUAACCAAUAAUAAUGCUCACUCUGAAAAUACAUGUAUUUAAUACUCCAUUUUUUUUUUAAAGAUUUUAUUUAUUUAUUCAUGAGAGACACAGAGAGAGAGAGGCAGAGACACAGGCAGAGGGAGAAGCAGGCUCCCUGCAGGGAGCCCGAUGUGGGACUCGAUCCUGGAUCCUGGGAUCAUGCCCUGAGUCAAAGGCAGAUGCUCAACCACUGAGCCACCCAGGCGUCCCAAAGGAAGCAUAAUACUCCAUUCUUAACUCAAGGGCACUUCUAGAAAGUCAUGGCAUCUACUGUUCCCCGUUCACUUGCCAGACAACUCCUCUUCCCAGUGAGCUGGUGGUCCCGGUUGGUGGUCCUCAAGCAUUUGAGCUGUUCUCCCUCCCGAUGAACGUGCUGCUUCAGGCCUCCAUCUUGUAAGGACUAGAAUAGGAAACACUAAGGAUUCUAAAUAGUCAGAGGUGUUAGAUGAGUAAGGUCCCCAGUUCUGCAGAGGGCAGAGGCAGCAGGCUUCUGGCUGGCAGCCCCCAAGAGCCAGCAGACAUGCAUGCCAUUUACUCAGGGAUGUUGCAGGUCCAAUGGAGGGACAAGCGUGCACCAGUGUCACCUACCAGGGACUAUGUGGCCUUUUCUUUUUUUUCCAGGGCAGGCACAAGUGGAUCCUGAAAUUCAGGAGAAACAGAGGUGCUGCCUGCCCUUCUGGGAAUGCUGAUUCCCCUUGACCCAGACUGACAAUAAUUGUUAAGGUUAAAACAUCCGAGUAAGUCUUUUAUGGCCUUGUCCCGGAGAUCUCCCACUGUUGUGUUAUUUAUUUAUUUAUUUUUUACCGUGUAUUUAGGCUUAUUUAUUUUUAUUUUUUUCCAUUUUACUUAGUUAUCGUACAAUGCAAUAUUCGUUUCUGGAGC